GAGACGCUAGUAAAAAAACAUUACACUGCUUUGUCAAGGCAGAAUUGCUGGUUAAAAUCCUGCGCACCUUA
This 71-nucleotide transfer RNA is filed under the name Aphanotorulus emarginatus. RNAcentral describes it as "tRNA-Asp". It matches the Rfam family "tRNA". Rfam says of the family: Transfer RNA (tRNA) molecules are approximately 80 nucleotides in length. Their secondary structure includes four short double-helical elements and three loops (D, anti-codon, and T loops). The record is from RNAcentral. Lineage: Eukaryota; Metazoa; Chordata; Actinopteri; Siluriformes; Loricariidae.